Molecule: ribosomal RNA, 239 nt
Filed under: uncultured bacterium
Lineage: Bacteria
Description: partial 16S ribosomal RNA
Rfam family: Bacterial small subunit ribosomal RNA
Source: RNAcentral
GCGUUGUUCGGAUUCAUUGGGCGUAAAGGGUGCGUAGGCGGCGCGGUAAGUCGGGUGUGAAAUCUCGGAGCUUAACUCCGAAACUGCAUUCGAUACUGCCGUGCUUGAGGACUGGAGAGGAGACUGGAAUUCAUGGUGUAGCAGUGAAAUGCGUAGAGAUCAUGAGGAAGACCAGUGGCGAAGGCGGGUCUCUGGACAGUUCCUGACACUGAGGCACGAAGGCCAGGGGAGCAAACGGG